CUAACACAUGCAAGUCGAACGGUAACAGGAAGAAGCUUGCUUCUUUGCUGACGAGUGGCGGACGGGUGAGUAAUGUCUGGGAAACUGCCUGAUGGAGGGGGAUAACUACUGGAAACGGUAGCUAAUACCGCAUAACGUCGCAAGACCAAAGAGGGGGACCUUCGGGCCUCUUGCCAUCGGAUGUGCCCAGAUGGGAUUAGCUAGUAGGUGGGGUAACGGCUCACCUAGGCGACGAUCCCUAGCUGGUCUGAGAGGAUGACCAGCCACACUGGAACUGAGACACGGUCCAGACUCCUACGGGAGGCAGCAGUGGGGAAUAUUGCACAAUGGGCGCAAGCCUGAUGCAGCCAUGCCGCGUGUAUGAAGAAGGCCUUCGGGUUGUAAAGUACUUUCAGCGGGGAGGAAGGGAGUAAAGUUAAUACCUUUGCUCAUUGACGUUACCCGCAGAAGAAGCACCGGCUAACUCCGUGCCAGCAGCCGCGGUAAUACGGAGGGUGCAAGCGUUAAUCGGAAUUACUGGGCGUAAAGCGCACGCAGGCGGUUUGUUAAGUCAGAUGUGAAAUCCCCGGGCUCAACCUGGGAACUGCAUCUGAUACUGGCAAGCUUGAGUCUCGUAGAGGGGGGUAGAAUUCCAGGUGUAGCGGUGAAAUGCGUAGAGAUCUGGAGGAAUACCGGUGGCGAAGGCGGCCCCCUGGACGAAGACUGACGCUCA
RNAcentral lists this ribosomal RNA (712 nucleotides) under uncultured Pseudomonadota bacterium. RNAcentral's name for it is "bacterial SSU rRNA". It matches the Rfam family "Bacterial small subunit ribosomal RNA", at positions 48 to 749 of the family's 1533-position model. The record is from RNAcentral. Lineage: Bacteria; Pseudomonadati; Pseudomonadota.